RNAcentral lists this ribosomal RNA (214 nucleotides) under uncultured Streptococcus sp. RNAcentral describes it as "partial 16S ribosomal RNA". It matches the Rfam family "Bacterial small subunit ribosomal RNA", at positions 1170 to 1382 of the family's 1533-position model. The record is from RNAcentral. Lineage: Bacteria; Bacillati; Bacillota; Bacilli; Lactobacillales; Streptococcaceae.
GAAGUGGGGAUGACGUCAAAUCAUCAUGCCCCUUAUGACCUGGGCUACACACGUGCUACAAUGGUUGGUACAACGAGUUGCGAGUCGGUGACGGCGAGCUAAUCUCUUAAAGCCAAUCUCAGUUCGGAUUGUAGGCUGCAACUCGCCUACAUGAAGUCGGAAUCGCUAGUAAUCGCGGAUCAGCACGCCGCGGUCGAAUACGUUCCCGGGCCUU